GUGGGUAUCCGAUUGGUCCG
This 20-nucleotide non-coding RNA is filed under the name Arabidopsis thaliana (thale cress). Lineage: Eukaryota; Viridiplantae; Streptophyta; Magnoliopsida; Brassicales; Brassicaceae. The record is from RNAcentral.